RNAcentral lists this transfer RNA (90 nucleotides) under Patescibacteria group bacterium. RNAcentral's name for it is "tRNA-Ser". It matches the Rfam family "tRNA". Rfam says of the family: Transfer RNA (tRNA) molecules are approximately 80 nucleotides in length. The record is from RNAcentral. RNAcentral also lists the same sequence under 1 other name.
GGAGGGGUGCGGGAGCGGUUUAACCGGCUGGUUUCGAAAACCAUGCGGGGCGAAAGUCUCACGAGAGUUCAAAUCUCUCCCCCUCCGCCA